ACGUUAGCGGCGGACGGGUGAGUAACACGUGGGUAACCUACCUAUAAGACUGGGAUAACUCCGGGAAACCGGGGCUAAUACCGGAUAACACAUGAAACCGCAUGGUUUCAUGAUGAAAGACGGUUUUGCUGUCACUUAUAGAUGGACCCGCGGCGUAUUAGCUAGUUGGUAAGGUAACGGCUUACCAAGGCAACGAUACGUAGCCGACCUGAGAGGGUGAUCGGCCACACUGGAACUGAGACACGGUCCAGACUCCUACGGGAGGCAGCAGGC
RNAcentral lists this ribosomal RNA (273 nucleotides) under uncultured Staphylococcus sp. Its description in RNAcentral is "partial 16S ribosomal RNA". It matches the Rfam family "Bacterial small subunit ribosomal RNA", at positions 89 to 354 of the family's 1533-position model. The record is from RNAcentral. Lineage: Bacteria; Bacillati; Bacillota; Bacilli; Caryophanales; Staphylococcaceae.